GAUGAACGCUGGCGGUAUGCUUAACACAUGCAAGUCGAACGGACUCUUCGGAGUUAGUGGCGGACGGGUGGGUAACGCGUGAGAAUCUGGCUUUGGGUUCGGGACACCCACUGGAAACGGUGGCUAAUACAGGUUGUGCCGAGAGGUAAAAGGGAAAUUGCCUGAAGAUGAGCUCGCGUCUGAUUAGCUAGUUGGUGAGGUAAAGGCCCAACAAGGCAGCGAUCAGUAGCUGGUCUGAGGGGAUGAGCAGCCACACGGGGACUGAGACACGGCCCAGACUCCUGCGGGAGGCAGCAGUGGAGAAUUUUCCGCAAGGGGCGAGAGCCUGACGGCAAAAUACCGCGUGAGAGAAGGAGGUUCUUGGGUUGUAAACCUCUUUUCUGAGGGAAGAACAAAAUGACGGUACCUAAGGAAUCAGCACCGGCUAACUACGUG
This 435-nucleotide ribosomal RNA is filed under the name uncultured bacterium. RNAcentral's name for it is "partial 16S ribosomal RNA". It matches the Rfam family "Bacterial small subunit ribosomal RNA", at positions 28 to 507 of the family's 1533-position model. The record is from RNAcentral.